CAUUACACCUCUACUAUGUCUUUUGUGAAGUCUUAUUUAAGUCUCCCAUCCAAUAUUCUAUUGGUUAUCUGUCUUUUUCUUAGUAAGAAAGAGACGGGUGAGGCUAUGGUGUUCCCUUAUCUCCAAUCUAAGACAAUCAACUAUCCUGAGUAAUGUGUCUUACAUUUUCCUUCCUGAAAAUUUUACAUCACAAAAGGUAUGAGAUGUCUCAUUUGACAACUGCAUUUUUUUUUUUUUUUUUUUUUUUUUACUAGUUAUCCUGCAACUAAUAGAAGAAAGAAACAUGGAGAAAAUGGAGCAGAUAUUCAAAGUAACUGUAUUUGACUUUGGUUAGCAAUGAUACAGACUUGGCAGGCAUAAAACUGACUGUGCCAUUCUGACACCCUCACUCUCUCAGCAGGUCUGAUUUACUCCUGAUGUUCACUUCUGUCUUUCCUAGGAGAAUAUUUCUCACGUGUUUGACAGAAAACAUUAUCUGUCCAUCAUUUCCAUGGAUUCCUGGGUCUCACGGGCAGAAGGACAAGGCAGAUAUGAGGCGGAUCUGGUAAAGUAAGUCAUUGUGUACUCUUUGUAUUUGUUUGAAGAUAUUUGGUCAUUUUCAGUCAUAUAUGUGAUGGAGAACCAGUUGUUAGAACAAUGUGUAUAUUGAUGGAGAAACAGGUGGGCCAGAGUGGUCGGUAGUCUGUGUGACAAACAGUGAUGCCACUUUCACUAUCUGAAAAUGAAUGAAUAUAUUCAUAGUAGUGGGCAUGCAAAGGUAAUAAAGACCUGACCCCCAACAUCAAUAAUAUAAUAAUGAUGAAUUCAUAUUCUAAAUCUGAUCAUUUAAGGAAGGCCAUCCAUAUCUCCAUCACAAUCACUUAAACAAAUGCAAAAAUGGAUAUUCUUUCUAGAAUAUUUCUGAUGAAAUUGCUUCUGAAGGCUGCAAAUUAGUGCUCAAGACCCUGUUGAAAAGCAGUUUCCUGUAUUCACUUAUGAAGUCAAAUGCAGAAAUUAUAUUUAUUUGGAUUUUAUUUAUAGCAGAGAG
RNAcentral lists this long non-coding RNA (1027 nucleotides) under Homo sapiens (human). Its description in RNAcentral is "HSALNT0206061". The record is from RNAcentral. Lineage: Eukaryota; Metazoa; Chordata; Mammalia; Primates; Hominidae.